ACUCUAUCAGUGUAGCUCUUAAACCCUAGGAAUUUUUUUACAUCUCUCCACGCCGAUUCUAUCUUUCUCUCCUCUCCACUCCACAUCAAUGGAAGAUGUAUGUGAAGGCAAAGAUUUCUCUUUCCCAAAUCAAGAAGAAAAAAUCCUUCAAUGGUGGGAAGAAGUCAAAGCAUUCGAAAACCAGCUCGAAAAGACAAAAAAUCAACCCGAAUACAUUUUCUACGAUGGUCCUCCAUUUGCAACAGGUUUACCUCAUUACGGCCACAUAUUAGCAGGUACAAUCAAAGAUAUUGUGACCAGGUAUCAAUCAAUGACGGGUCAUCAUGUGACCCGAAGAUUUGGGUGGGAUUGUCAUGGAUUACCAGUUGAACAUGAAAUUGAUGAGAAACUUCAGAUUAAGACUAAACAACAAGUGAUUGAAAUGGGGAUUGAUAAGUAUAAUG
Molecule: unclassified non-coding RNA, 443 nt
Filed under: Hevea brasiliensis (rubber tree)
Lineage: Eukaryota; Viridiplantae; Streptophyta; Magnoliopsida; Malpighiales; Euphorbiaceae
Source: RNAcentral